GCUGCCAGCAUUAGCAUACGCUUCUGAUAGAUGAUUGAAAGCAUACACAUAACAUGACUGAAACUGGUUGGAAUGAUUUUUUUUCGCAAUAGUUUUUUUUCGCAAUAGUGCGCUAAAAAGGACACUGUUAAAUUAAAAUUAAUAAAGCACCGCUACUUCAAGUUCUUCCCCAAUAAUCCCCGCGCCUAGAGGCUGCAACUAAGGCACCAACUGUGUGUUACAUGGAUAUUUACAGAUAUGGCCAUAGUAAUUUACAUAACGUCAUGCAGAUACUAGUAAAAGCAACAGUGAAAAGGAGCGGGUUUUUUCCCAUUCACAGGAAUUUUUAAGGAAACUUGUCCAAGGGCCUA
Molecule: unclassified non-coding RNA, 350 nt
Filed under: Hevea brasiliensis (rubber tree)
Lineage: Eukaryota; Viridiplantae; Streptophyta; Magnoliopsida; Malpighiales; Euphorbiaceae
Source: RNAcentral